AAUAAGUAUAAAAUAAUAUACUUUGCGAAAUGAUUUUAUAAGAAGAAAACUUCUAAUAUUCUUUCAAUAGCUACGUAUAUGUAUUUAUGAUGCUUCAAACUAUGAAUGGUCCAUAGAAAACGUAAAAGAUCAGUGUUUUGUUGUGAAUUUUAUUAAUUUACUUAGAUAUUUACUGUGUUUAAGUGAACGUUUUAUAUUACAACAAUGCCUAAAAAGUGUGCAUUUGGGUGUGAACAUGAAUAUGGAUUAACGGUACAUCAGUUUCCGAACAUAAAAAAGUUUAAGAAUCAGUUUAAGAAAUGGGUCUUCCUUAUGGGAGGGAACCCGGAGGACCCGGAGGACAUAAAGAAUUACCGGAACCGUGUAGUAUGUGACCGACACUUUGAAGAUAAACAUAAGAAUCGUAAUCAUCGACUCAGUCGUAUUGCUUUGCCAAGUCUUCAUUUACCACCAGACGUUGCCAAAAGACUUGAGAAGAUAGGACCCGAUGUUUCUGAUGAAGAAAAUUGUAAAGAUGAAGCAGAAAUUUAUGAUAUACAACUGGAUCCUUGCGAUUCCCUACCAUAUGAAAGUGAUAUGCCUGAGGUACAAUUUGAGCUAGAAGUACAGGACAAUUUUAAAGGACAGUUGACACCUACAGUACAGUGGAAACCCAUAGAACAGUUGCAGCCUGCUGAAAACUUGAAACCCGUAGUACGAUCGGCUCCUAGAGGACAGUUGAUUCCUAUAGGACAGUCAAUUCAGAAAGGACAGUUGAUCCCUAUAGGACAACCAAUUCCCAAAGGGCAGUUGGUCCCUAUAGGACAACCAACUCCCAAAGGGCAGUUGGUCCCUAUAGGACAACCAACUCCCAAAGGGCAGUUGGUUCCUAUAGGACAACCAACUCCCAAAGGACAGUUGAUCCCUAUAGGACAAGCAACUCCGAAAGGACAAUUAAUACCCGUAGGACAGUUGAAACCUAUAGUACUGUCGAAACCUGUGGGAAAGUUAAAACCUAUAAUAAAAUUGAAACCUAUAGGACAGUUACAGCCCGCAGGAAAUAUUAAACGUGUAACACUGUCAAAUGUUAAAGGACUGUUGAAACCUAGACAAAAACUGGUUGCAGGCGCGAAGGAUCAGGUUUAUAUACCACGAAAGGUGUUUAGAAGAAAGUUCGAUCCUGCCGUGCCGAUCUGCAGAGCGUGUCUUACUACCAAGAGGAAACUGUUCAAUAUUCAUGAAACUGAUGUCUUGCAAGUCUACCAGACUAUGUCUGGGACACAGUUGACUACAGACGACCGUCUACCACAAUGGCUAUGUAGCCACUGCAUCACUCUACUGAGGAAGUGCCACAAAUUCAGUCAGAACUGCAAGGAGGCGGCCAAGGAAUUGAUGGAAGCUAGCUAUACCGGUGUUUUGGGACGCGCUGCUAAGCUAGAAAACUUAAAGCUUCAGAGGACAGAGAUAAAUUAUGUCGAUAUUGUGGGCGAGCGGGUGAAAAUGGAGGCAGAACAUGAUUAUGAUGGAAAUCCUAACAUUGAGGAUACAGCUACACUAGAAAACAUGGACGUAGCGGAAGAUAUAGAAAUAAAAGAAAUUAAACCCUUAGCAGACAUAAAAAGGCGGAAAAAGCCGAGUAUACUCGACAAUGAAGACAUGCUGAGAGAGUUUGAAACUGUAUAUAGCGUAGAUGUACAUAAAAUGAGUGCUGAGGAGAAAUUACAAGAUGUAUUAGAUAGGAAGGCGAGUGUGAACUAUAUGAACAGCCCGUAUAGAUGCGAGCUAUGCUACCGCGGGUACCUGGCUGCGGGGCUGUUGAAGACGCAUCAUUUGGUGAGGCAUAAUGCGAGUCUUGCGGAAGUGUGUGAGUAUUGUCACCUGCGGUACAAGACUCCCACCGACCUGGCGCUCCACUACACCAAGAGUCAUACUGUGAGGAUAUCCUGUCGGUUAUGUCCGCGCGUAGCGAGGAAUAUAUCUAACGCCAAGAAACAUUACGAGGUGUACCACCAAGAACAGAAGCAUACAACGUGUGAACACUGUGGACGGAGCUUCAGGAUGCUAUCAUCAUUCCUGAUCCACCUUCGCGACGAGCACCCGUCGCAGCUGAUCUGGUGCCACGUCUGCGGAGACGCCUUCGUGCUCGCCGGCAAUUUAGAGAAACAUAAACUCAGGCGACAUCAGCACCUCCAUCUGCCGGCGAGAUGCGGAAACUGUGAUACCCAUUUCGUAGACGAGGUGGCGCUGAGCCGUCAUUUAAUGGAUGGUAUUUGUACCGGCCACUCUUGUAUCCACUGCGGGGUCGGGUAUACAGAACCCAUGGGUUUGAGGGACCAUGUACUUAAAACACAUAAGCCUCGCACACGCACGAAUGUUGAUUAUCCGUGUCCUAAGUGCCACAAGGUGUUCAAGCAAGGUGCCCAGCUUCGAGACCACCUGAGGAAGAUACAUCUCAAGAUUAGCAGACAAGUAGUAUGCGAGAUUUGCGGGAAGGUCGUACCGAGUAAAGUGGCGAUGAAGGUACAUCUCCGGCUGCACUCGGGCGAGCGGCCGUACCAGUGUCCUCUCUGUAUGAAGGGAUUCAUCAGCAAGAAUACCAUGAUGAAACAUCGGAAGACGGUACACUCUACUGAGCGUCCCUACGUGUGCGAUAGGUGUCCGAAAUCGUUUAAAGGAAAACACAACCUCAUUAAACACGAACGGAAAGUGCAUGACAACGAGGCUAAUGAGACAGCGACAGCCACUACGCUGUUAUCGCUCGGAAUAAUAUUAUAGUAUUAUGAACUACUCUGCUAUACUCCGGAGACAGGAAAACAGGUGUGGAGCCUUACUAGAAGACAUACUACCUCAUACACGCGGUUUCGCCCGCGUUUUCAUGCGAUAAAACGACUCUAACAUUAGAACUUGAGACGGGAUAUUUACCAUGUUUAUUUAUAUUUAUGAGUUUCCGAUAUUUCGGCACUGUUGCAAGCGCCAUGAUCACGGAUGAACUGGAGUGGAUGUUUAAGAGCAGAUAAAUCUAUCUUUCUAAGUCAUUAUGCAAUAAUAAAAUGUCACCUUGAUUUAUUCGUGUAGUUUUGUAAAGUAACUAGCUUCAGUCAUCGGUUUCGUCCGCGUUUUCGUAGGAUAUAAAGUAUCCUAUGUAUUAUUCCAGACCAUAAUCUACCUCUGUUCCAAAUUUCAUCCCGAUCCCAUCAGUUGUUUUUUUUUUAAUUGAUUUAUUAUACUUAGAAUUCCUUCCUGUGUAGUGGGUGCGUUUACAAACAUACAAGUUCACAUACACAUGACACACAGACCCGAAACAACAAUUUGUGGAUCAUAUAAAGAGUUGGUCCGUGCGGGAAUCAAACCCGCUUCACGUUGCAGUCAAGUUUUGAUUGCAAACAUACAAACUUUUGCAUUUAUAUCAUAAGUUAAUGUUGACAUUUAAACAGUGACUCGUGUAAUGUAGAGAUUGUCCAGUCAACUGAUGGUAGCGUGGACUGUCCAGGCGAUACGUACUUAGGUAUCGUCAUGUGCUAAUGGUAACAUGUAAACAGUGACUUGUGUAGUGUAGAGAUUGUCCAGUCAACUGAUGGUAGCGUGGACUGUCCAGGCGAUACGUACUUAGGUAUCGUCAUGAGCUAAUGGUAACAUGUAAACAGUGACUCGUGUAGUGUAGAGAUUGUCCAGUCAACAGGUGGUAGCGUGGACUGUCCAGGCGAUACGUACUUAGGUAUCGUCAUGAGCUAAUGGUAACAUGUAAACAGUGACUCGUGUAGUGUAGAGAUUGUCCAGUCAACUGAUGGUAGCGUGGACUGUCCAGGCGAUACGUACUUAGGUAUCGUCAUGAGCUAAUGGUAACAUGUAAACAGUGACUCGUGUAGUGUAGAGAUUGUCCAG
Molecule: RNA transcript, 3861 nt
Organism: Spodoptera frugiperda (fall armyworm)
Lineage: Eukaryota; Metazoa; Arthropoda; Insecta; Lepidoptera; Noctuidae
Exons: 17
Source: RefSeq, a predicted model, not a curated record